AUUGAACGCUGGCGGCAGGCUUAACACAUGCAAGUCGAGCGGAGGUGAGGUGCUUGCACCUUAUCUUAGCGGCGGACGGGUGAGUAAUGCUUAGGAAUCUGCCUAUUAGUGGGGGACAACAUUCCGAAAGGAAUGCUAAUACCGCAUACGUCCUACGGGAGAAAGCAGGGGAUCUUCGGACCUUGCGCUAAUAGAUGAGACUAAGUCGGAUUAGCUAGUUGGUGGGGUAAAGGCCUACCAAGGCGACGAUCUGUAGCGGGUCUGAGAGGAUGAUCCGCCACACUGGGACUGAGACACGGCCCAGACUCCUACGGGAGGCAGCAGUGGGGAAUAUUGGACAAUGGGGGGAACCCUGAUCCAGCCAUGCCGCGUGUGUGAAGAAGGCCUUAUGGUUGUAAAGCACUUUAAGCGAGGAGGAGGCUACUGAGACUAAUACUCUUGGAUAGUGGACGUUACUCGCAGAAUAAGCACCGGCUAACUCUGUGCCAGCAGCCGCCGCCG
Molecule: ribosomal RNA, 501 nt
Filed under: uncultured bacterium
Lineage: Bacteria
Description: partial 16S ribosomal RNA
Rfam family: Bacterial small subunit ribosomal RNA
Source: RNAcentral